Molecule: long non-coding RNA, 1304 nt
Organism: Homo sapiens (human)
Lineage: Eukaryota; Metazoa; Chordata; Mammalia; Primates; Hominidae
Gene: DLEU1
Product: deleted in lymphocytic leukemia 1
Source: Ensembl
AUUCCAAGAACCAGGAGGUUGUUUGCUGUACUCUCCCUUGUACAGUUAGCUGUCUCUAGUGCCUGAAUGCACUAAUUGUCCUUUGGGUAUGGAUGAGGUAAUGAAGGAAAGGGAUGCUGGGAAGAGAGGCCACAUGAGAAGUGGUUCUCUAACUUGAUGUAUACAAAUUUUCUGAGAAGAUUAUUUAAAAAGUAGUUUCCACCCAAUCCAAGGAUUCCGAUUCAGCAGGGCUGAGGUACUCCGAAGCAGGGUAUGGAUUCUGCUUUCAUCUUUCAAUGCAAGCCUGUUUCCACAGGGUUGAGAUCUGGCAUGGACAAUUUCAGCCUGAAACGAUUACUUUUGGAAAUUUGCAGUGAGUGGAAACAGUCAUGUAGAGCUGUGGAUCUUGCUACCUGGAUCAAUAACUUCUUCUAGUUAAGCUUCUUGCCAAGGAAAAGCAAGGAAUAUCAAAUUUCAUAGACCUAAUGAACCACUGGAAACUGCUUGCACCCAUGUGUGCAAGGAUCGCUUUUUAUGAUUUAUACAAACCAAAGCACUCAUUGGAAUAAGAAUAAUAGCUAACGUUUAUUUAUCAUUUAUUAUCCUGGCCACUGUGCCAAGUAUUUAUAUACAGUGAGUUAUUUAAUCCCUGCAACAACCCAUGGGUAGGUACUAUUAUUUUUCCUUCUUUAUAGAUAAGAACAUUGAGGCACAAAAAUGCUAAAUUACAGAGUGGGAUCAAUGUGUUGCUCGCUUAGAAAAUGAGUCAAGUUCCAUAUGUGUGAGUAAAUGUGAACAUUCCCACUUCCUUGUCACUUGGUUUUCUUUCUCAAGUUUGGUGUGUUUGCUCUGUGUUCACAGGAUAUUGUUAACUUCUUAGUCCUUUGAAGAAAAAUCAAAUUUUUUCUUAAGAAGAGACUUUUGAAACUCACAAUAUGAAUUCAAGAAGCAAAAAAGAAAAUCGAAUUUCACAAAUGGGAUACCAAUAGCUUGGAAAAAUCCAUUGCUUUUGCAGGGUUUGUUAUUGAGGGAACCCUGCCUUUCCCAGCAUCCUUAACAUUUCUUCCUCAAAUAAAAGGUAAUAAAAUGCAACCAACUGACUCAUUUUCUAAGUGAAUGACAUAUUUACUCUACUCUUUAAGUUUAAACUCUAACCAAUUCCCCAAUCCUUAGUUCCCAUGAAAUGUAAUGUUCUCUUCCUAAAAUGUUUGGCCAAGUUGGGGAAGGUGGGCAUGGCAGUGUGAGCCUGUAGCCAGGUUCCAAGGUUCGCUUGAGGUUAGGAGGUUGAGACUAGCCUGGGCAAUAUGGCAAGACUCUGUAUCCAC